GAUGAACGCUGGCGGUGCGUUUAAUACAUGCAAGUCGAACGAGAAGCUGGAUUUAUUCAGUGGAAAGUGGCGGACGAGCGAGUAACACGUAAGAACCUGCCCUAUACUCAGGGAUAACGGUCCGAAAGGAUCGCUAAUACCGGAUAGUCCCGAAAGGGUAAAGAUUUAUCGGUAUAGGAGGGGCUUGCGGGCUAUCAGUUAGUUGGUGAGGUAAAGGCUUACCAAGACUAUGACGGCUACCGGGUGUGAGAGCAUGACCCGGCGCGAUGGGACUGAGACACGGCCCAUACUCCUACGGGAGGCAGCAGUAGAGAAUCUUCCGCAAUGGACGAAAGUCUGACGGAGCGACACCGCGUGGUGGAUGAAGGCCUAUGGGUUGUAAACACCUUUUCUAUGGGAAGAAGAUCUGACGGUACCAUAGGAAUAAGGACCGGCUAAUUACGUGCCAGCAGCCGCGGUAAUACGUAAGGUCCGAGCGUUAUCCGGAAUUAUUGGGCGUAAAGCGUCCGCAGGUUGUUAUAUAAGUCAGUUAUUAAAUACCGGUGCUCAACAUCGGUGCUGUAGCCGAAACUGUAUAACUAGAGGAUGGGAGAGGUAUAUGGAAUUGUGCAAGUAGGGGUAAAAUCCGUAGAUAUGCACAGGAACACCAAAAGCGAAGGCAGUAUACUGGACCAUUCCUGACACUCAGGGACGAAAGCGUGGGGAGCAAAAGGGAUUAGAUACCCCUGUAGUCCACGCCGUAAACGAUGCAUGCUCGGUGUAGGGACCCUCGACCUGGUCUCUGUGCCCAAGGUAACCCGUUAAGCAUGCCGCCUGUGAAGUACGAUCGCAAGAUUAAAACACAAAGGAAUAGACGGGGACCCACACAAGCGGUGGAACAAUGGGGUUUAAUUCGUCAAUAAGCGAGUAACCUCACCCAGACUUGACAUCCUGAUCAUAGAUUUUAGAGAUAAUUUCGUCAGUUCGGCUG
This 970-nucleotide ribosomal RNA is filed under the name uncultured bacterium. RNAcentral describes it as "bacterial SSU rRNA". It matches the Rfam family "Bacterial small subunit ribosomal RNA", at positions 28 to 1025 of the family's 1533-position model. The record is from RNAcentral.